This 606-nucleotide ribosomal RNA is filed under the name Lichenomphalia lobata. Its description in RNAcentral is "eukaryotic LSU rRNA". It matches the Rfam family "Eukaryotic large subunit ribosomal RNA", at positions 1 to 609 of the family's 3401-position model. The record is from RNAcentral. Lineage: Eukaryota; Fungi; Basidiomycota; Agaricomycetes; Agaricales; Hygrophoraceae.
GACCUCAAAUCAGGUAGGACUACCCGCUGAACUUAAGCAUAUCAAUAAGCGGAGGAAAAGAAACUAACAAGGAUUCCCUUAGUAACUGCGAGUGAACCGGGAUGAGCUCAAAUUUAAAAUCUGGCGGUCCUUAUGCGGCCGUCCGAGUUGUAACCUAGAGAAGCGUCUAUCCGCGCUGGACCGUGUACAAGUCUCUUGGAAAAGAGCAUCAUAGAGGGUGACAAUCCCGUCUUUGACACGGAUCGCCAGGGCUUCAGGAUGCGCUCUCGAUGAGUCGAGUUGUUUGGGAAUGCAGCUCAAAACGGGUGGUAAAUUCCAUCUAAAGCUAAAUACAGGGGAGAGACCGAUAGCGCACAAGUACCGUGAGGGAAAGAUGAAAAGAACUUUGAAAAGAGAGUUAAACAGUACGUGAAAUUGUUGAAAGGGAAACGCUUCAAGUCAGUCGCAUUGGUCGGGGAUCAGCCUGCAAUGGUGCACUUCCCGGCCCAAUGGGUCAGCAUCAAUUUUGACCGUUGGAUAAAGGUCAGGGGGAACGUGGCAAUCACCUUGCCCUUGGUUGCAUACAACGGUUGGGAUUGAGGAACUCAGCACGCCUUCAUGGUCGGG